Molecule: long non-coding RNA, 562 nt
Filed under: Cyanistes caeruleus (blue tit)
Lineage: Eukaryota; Metazoa; Chordata; Aves; Passeriformes; Paridae
Description: lncRNA (ENSCCEG00000004113.1)
Source: RNAcentral
AAAAACGUGGAAUUCUUGGGAAAAACAGAAAAUUUUGGGGAAAAACCACGAAAUUCCUGGAAAAAAAUGAGGAAUUGUUGGGAAAAAAUGCAGAAUUCCCAGGAAAAAUAUGGAAUUCUUGGGAAAAACCAUGGAAUUCCCAGGAAAAAAUACGGAGUUCCCAGGAAAAACAUGGAAUUCUUGGGGAAAAAUGUGGAAUUCUUGGGAAAAAAUGUGGAAUUUUUGGGGAAAACGUGGAAUUUUUGGGAAAAAAUGCGGAAUUUUGGGAAAAAAUGCAGAAUUUUUUGGGAAAACCAUUGAAUUCCCAGGAAAAACUCGGAUUUCUCAGGAAAAACUCGGAUUUCUCAGGAAAAGACGCAGAAUUUUUGGGAAAAAACCUGAAAUUCCCAGGAAAAAACACAAAAUUCCCAGGAAAAAAGGAGGAAUUCUCGGGAAAAACGUGGAAUUCUUGGAAGAAAAAGAAAGAGGGUGGAGGAAAAUUGUGUAUAAAAAAAAAAUCCCGGAGAAAAAAUUCCCAGAAAAAGAAAAAACCUGGAAAAGGAAAAAAAAAAAAAUAAAAUAA